RNAcentral lists this ribosomal RNA (547 nucleotides) under uncultured bacterium. RNAcentral describes it as "bacterial SSU rRNA". It matches the Rfam family "Bacterial small subunit ribosomal RNA", at positions 355 to 896 of the family's 1533-position model. The record is from RNAcentral.
UGGGGAAUAUUGCACAAUGGGGGGAACCCUGAUGCAGCCAUGCCGCGUGAAUGAAGAAGGCCUUCGGGUUGUAAAGUUCUUUCGGUGACGAGGAAGGUUGAUAGGUUAAUAGCCUAUCAAAUUGACGUUAAUCACAGAAGAAGCACCGGCUAACUCCGUGCCAGCAGCCGCGGUAAUACGGGGGGUGCGAGCGUUAAUCGGAAUAACUGGGCGUAAAGGGCACGCAGGCGGUGACUUAAGUGAGAUGUGAAAGCCCCGAGCUUAACUUGGGAAUUGCAUUUCAUACUGGGUCGCUAGGGUACUUUAGGGAGGGGUAGAAUUCCACGUGUAGCGGUGAAAUGCGUAGAGAUGUGGAGGAAUACCGAAGGCGAAGGCAGCCCCUUGGGAAUGUACUGACGCUCAUGUGCGAAAGCGUGGGGAGCAAACAGGAUUAGAUACCCUGGUAGUCCACGCUGUAAACGAUGUCGAUUUGGGGAUUGGGCUUUGAGCUUGGUGCCCGUAGCUAACGUGAUAAAUCGACCGCCUGGGGAGUACGGCCGCAAGGUUA